AGCUGCGUCGAGAUCUUUCGCAUGGGCGAAGCCUGACGUGGCGACGCUGGGUGAGUGAUGAAGGCUUUCGGGUUGUAAAGCUCUUUCSCGGGGAGCAAAAUGGUUUAGUGAAUAMCUGCCACAUGUGAGGGUACUGGGAAAAGAAGCACCGGCUAACUC
Molecule: ribosomal RNA, 159 nt
Filed under: uncultured Chlamydiales bacterium
Lineage: Bacteria; Pseudomonadati; Chlamydiota; Chlamydiia; Chlamydiales
Description: partial 16S ribosomal RNA
Rfam family: Bacterial small subunit ribosomal RNA
Source: RNAcentral